ACUCAAAUGAAUUGACGGGGGCCCGCACAAGCAGCGGAGCGUGUGGUUUAAUUCGAGGCUACACGAAGAACCUUACCUGGGUUUGACAUGCUGGUAGUAGGGAACUGAAAAGGGACCGACCGCAAGGAGCCAGCACAGGUGCUGCAUGGCUGUCGUCAGCUCGUGCCGUGAGGUGUUCGGUUAAGUCCGCAAACGAGCGCAACCCUCGGCGUUAGUUACACGUGUCUAACGCGACUGCCCGUGAGAAACGGGAGGAAGGUGGGGAUGACGUCAAGUCAGCAUGGCCUUUAUAUCCAGGGCUACACACACGCUACAAUGGGGGGUACAGCAGGUUGCGAAACCGCGAGGUCAAGCCAAUCCUGAAAGCCUCUCGUAGUUCGGAUUGCAGGCUGCAACUCGCCUGCAUGAAGUCGGAGUUGCUAGUAACCGCGCGUCAGCUAUAGCGCGGUGAAUACGUUCCCGGGCCUUGCACACACCGCCCGU
RNAcentral lists this ribosomal RNA (483 nucleotides) under uncultured bacterium. Its description in RNAcentral is "partial 16S ribosomal RNA". It matches the Rfam family "Bacterial small subunit ribosomal RNA", at positions 899 to 1397 of the family's 1533-position model. The record is from RNAcentral.